Molecule: ribosomal RNA, 485 nt
Filed under: uncultured bacterium
Lineage: Bacteria
Description: partial 16S ribosomal RNA
Rfam family: Bacterial small subunit ribosomal RNA
Source: RNAcentral
AUUGAACGCUGGCGGCAUGCCUUACACAUGCAAGUCGAACGGCAGCACGGGUGCUUGCACCUGGUGGCGAGUGGCGAACGGGUGAGUAAUACAUCGGAACAUGUCCUGUAGUGGGGGAUAGCCCGGCGAAAGCCGGAUUAAUACCGCAUACGAUCCACGGAUGAAAGCGGGGGACCUUCGGGCCUCGCGCUAUAGGGUUGGCCGAUGGCUGAUUAGCUAGUUGGUGGGGUAAAGGCCUACCAAGGCGACGAUCAGUAGCUGGUCUGAGAGGACGACCAGCCACACUGGGACUGAGACACGGCCCAGACUCCUACGGGAGGCAGCAGUGGGGAAUUUUGGACAAGGGGCGAAAGCCUGAUCCAGCAAUGCCGCGUGUGUGAAGAAGGCCUUCGGGUGGUAAAGCACUUUUGUCCGGAAAGAAAUCCUUGACUCUAAUACAGUCGGGGGAUGACGGUACCGGAAGAAUAAGCACCGGCUAACUACGU